Molecule: unclassified non-coding RNA, 306 nt
Filed under: plant metagenome
Description: partial contains 5.8S ribosomal RNA, internal transcribed spacer 2, and large subunit ribosomal RNA
Rfam family: 5.8S ribosomal RNA (bases 1-105)
Source: RNAcentral
GAAAUGCGAUAAGUAGUGUGAAUUGCAGAAUUCAGUGAAUCAUCGAAUCUUUGAACGCACAUUGCGCCCCUUGGUAUUCCAUGGGGCAUGCCUGUUCGAGCGUCAUCUACACCCUCAAGCUCUGCUUGGUGUUGGGCGUCUUUGUCCCGCCUCCGCGCGCGGACUCGCCCCAAAUUCAUUGGCAGCGGUCCUUGCCUCCUCUCGCGCAGCACAUUGCACUUCUCGAGGUGUUGCGGCCCGCGUCCAGAAAGCAAUCGUUACCGUCUUUGACCUCGGAUCAGGUAGGGAUACCCGCUGAACUUAAGC